Xylaria palmicola is the source of this 101-nucleotide non-coding RNA. The record is from the annotation of a GenBank genome assembly. Lineage: Eukaryota; Fungi; Ascomycota; Sordariomycetes; Xylariales; Xylariaceae.
GCCCUGGUAGCUCAAUUGGUUAGAGCGUCGGACUUUUACGGUUUCCUUACGGUGCUGUCAGAGCCAUCCGAAGGCUGCGGGUUCGACCCCCGCCUGGGGCG